Molecule: transfer RNA, 62 nt
Filed under: Lotharella oceanica
Lineage: Eukaryota; Cercozoa; Chlorarachniophyceae
Source: RNAcentral
AUCUUAGCAACAGAUACGCCGAACUUUGCGUUAACGCAUCUUUAAAUGUUUAUGAUUAUAGA